This 301-nucleotide ribosomal RNA is filed under the name uncultured bacterium. RNAcentral describes it as "partial 16S ribosomal RNA". It matches the Rfam family "Bacterial small subunit ribosomal RNA", at positions 509 to 807 of the family's 1533-position model. The record is from RNAcentral.
CAGCAGCCGCGGGAAUACGUAGGUGGCAAGCGUUGUCCGGAAUUAUAGGGCGUAAAGGGCUCGCAGGCGGUUUCUUAAGUCUGAUGUGAGAGCCCCCGGCUCAACCGGGGAGGGUCAUUGGAAACUGGGAAACUUGAGUGCAGAAGAGGAGAGUGGAAUUCCACGUGUAGCGGUGAAAUGCGUAGAGAUGUGGAGGAACACCAGUGGCGAAGGCGACUCUCUGGUCUGUAACUGACGCUGAGGAGCGAAAGCGUGGGGAGCGAACAGGAUUAGAUACCCGGGUAGUCCCUGUCUCUUAUAC